GACUAGAGUGCGGUAGGGGAGACUGGAAUUCCUGGUGUAGCGGUGGAAUGCGCAGAUAUCAGGAGGAACACCGAUGGCGAAGGCAGGUCUCUGGGCCGCAACUGACGCUGAGGAGCGAAAGCAUGGGGAGCGAACAGGAUUAGAUACCCUGGUAGUCCAUGCCGUAAACGUUGGGCACUAGGUGUGGGGCUCAUUCCACGAGUUCCGUGCCGCAGCAAACGCAUUAAGUGCCCCGCCUGGGGAGUACGGCCGCAAGGCUAAAACUCAAAGAAAUUGACGGGGGCCCGCACAAGCGGCGGAGCAUGCGGAUUAAUUCGAUGCAACGCGAAGAACCUUACCAAGGCUUGACAUACACCGGAAACUUCCAGAGAUGGUUGCCCCGCAAGGUCGGUGUACAGGUGGUGCAUGGUUGUCGUCAGCUCGUGUCGUGAGAUGUUGGGUUAAGUCCCGCAACGAGCGCAACCCUCGUCCUAUGUUGCCAGCGGGUCAUGCCGGGGACUCAUAGGAGACUGCCGGGGUCAACUCGGAGGAAGGUGGGGAUGACGUCAAAUCAUCAUGCCCCUUAUGUCUUGGGCUUCACGCAUGCUACAAUGGCCGGUACAAAGGGCUGCGAUACCGCGAGGUGGAGCGAAUCCCAAAAAGCCGGUCUCAGUUCGGAUUGGGGUCUGCAACUCGACCCCAUGAAGUCGGAGUCGCUAGUAAUCGCAGAUCAGCAACGCUGCGGUGAAUACGUUCCCGGGCCUUGUACACACCGCCCGUCAAGUCACGAAAGUCGGUAACACCCGAAGCCGGUGGCCCAACUCGCAAGAGGGGGAGCCGUCGAAGGUGGGACUGGCGAUUGGGACUAAGUCGUAACAAGGUAACCA
Molecule: ribosomal RNA, 866 nt
Filed under: uncultured bacterium
Lineage: Bacteria
Description: bacterial SSU rRNA
Rfam family: Bacterial small subunit ribosomal RNA
Source: RNAcentral